Molecule: long non-coding RNA, 1885 nt
Organism: Platichthys flesus (European flounder)
Lineage: Eukaryota; Metazoa; Chordata; Actinopteri; Pleuronectiformes; Pleuronectidae
Exons: 2
Source: RefSeq, a predicted model, not a curated record
CGUAUGGACAGAUGACAGAUCGGAGACAAUCUGUCCUUUUCUCUCGCCCCUCCCCCCUGAGCUCUGCUUCUUAAGCCGAUAAUCGCCAAAACAACUCGAGUAGUAAAAAAAAAAAAAACUCCCGACCAAACAAUCACUUUGCUUUGAAAGCUGUUGACUCGUGUCUGGUCACCUCUUCUCUUUCUUACUAUGUUCUUCCUCUUCCUUCUCUCCUCUUCCUCCACUUUGACCUCAUCUCUGUGUGACGCGGCCCACAGACACGAUAUCGAUCUUUUCUGGCCAAAGAGCUAUUUGAGCUAAAUGCCUGUAAAUGUUUGCAUGAGAUUCGUUUAUAAAACCUGAAAUGUUCCUUCUCUGGAAGUGAGAGCUUUUCUUCAGUCUUCAGCCAACAGACUAGAAUUAAAGUGGUUGUUCACCUUGUGCCGUCAUCACAACAAGUCCUCCCAUCACGCCGAGCACCCUCCAGUCAGUCGGCACCAAACAACACACCUGAGACUGAAACUGAACGAUCCUCCAAGUUGUUAACCCCCCCCCCCCGCCUUCUCCAAGAGCACAAACUUUCUCCUCUCUAAGAAUCAAUCCCCUUCCUGCUCACCGUCUAAUCUUUGUGUCUCUGCGGGACCGGAGCCCUCCAGACCAGAACCUGUCCUCCUUCAGCUCCUUUCAAUUACCGCCCAUGUGUGUGCACGGCGCUCGGAGAAGAGCCUUCAAUUACAACACAAAGGAGAGGAGACCCCCCCGGUCGGAGAGGUGAAGUCGAGCUGCUUCUCUCUGGUUUGGAGCCGAGCCGCCAGCCGAGAGGCUUUUAAAGAUCCCGUCGAUCGGUUUCUUUCUCCUGCUCCGUGGUUUGUAGACGUGAGGACUUGAGCUGUAAAAUCCCAGAGUUCAGUUUGUAGUUCACUUUAUGGAGAAGUCCUCCACUGGUCUGACACUUUGCACAGAGGAGAUACUGUGGAGGGCUGUGUAAUCAAUCAACCCAGAAAUACUCGAUUCCCGUCCUUCAAUGUUUUACAUGUUUGAAACAUUUUCAGAUUUAUCUCAAAAUGAAAAGUUAAACAAAAGAAACAGACAAAAACAAGUAAAUCAUCAACGUCACUUCGGUCUGAGAGAGUUUUCACUUUAAAAAGACGUGAGACAACUUCUCUCAGUAAACUGAACGUCGUGUGGGAAACUGGUGUCGUGGCUUUUAACUCAUUUAUAAAACAUUAGUCAACAACUAUCUCAUUUUAAAGGGAAAUAUUCACUAUAUUACUUAUUAUUAUAACGUGAAAACCCGCAGUUCAAAUAUGUUAAAUCCUACUUGAAACUAUAACUUUAGAAAGUUCACUGAGGAUGAAGAUGACGAUUCGAGUGGAGAACAAACGUCAAGUUAAAAAUGAAAAGACUUGAUUGCCUUUUCUUAAACUGCUCAUGGAACAGAAAACACAAACCUCUGAGCAAAACCCAAUGUGAAAGCUUCAGUUCACUUUUUCAUUUGUUUUGUUUGACUCGUCCCUCGUGUUUUUCAAUCAGAGCAGAAAAACACGUUUGUGUUCCUGUUCCCCGAGAAAAGCUUCUGUUGAUUUGUGUUUUCUUAUUUUGUGGAGUGGAACAGACUCCAGCUCCCGCUGAAUCAAUCUGUUGGAUUUGAUGUUUACAUUUAGGAAAAUUAAGUUUCAAAUGUUUUUUGUUCUCAUUUGAAUACAGACAAGUUCUCUUGAAUCUCAUCUGCUGUUAAAGUUCAGAACAAAAGUCAUCGAGCAUUUUCAUAACCCCUUGCUCUCCACGUCGUGUUGUUGUUUUUGAGACAGAGCUUCACAAGCCACUGCAGGAAAACCUCUUUGUACCCGAUGUCUUCGUUACCAUGUACAUAAUUUUAAAAUAAUAAAAAUUGCUACUUUCAGUA